RNAcentral lists this long non-coding RNA (6551 nucleotides) under Homo sapiens (human). Its description in RNAcentral is "HSALNT0270834". The record is from RNAcentral. Lineage: Eukaryota; Metazoa; Chordata; Mammalia; Primates; Hominidae.
CGUGUCCUGGGUUCAUGCCUUUCUCCUGCCUCAGCCCCCCGAGUAGCUGGGACUAUAGGCGCCCACCACUACGCCCGGCUAAUUUUUGUAUUUUUAGUAGAGACGGGGUUUCACUGUGUUAGCCAGGAUGGUCUUGAUCUCCUGACCUUGUUUGCUUUUUGUAUUUUUAGUAGACAUGUGGUUUUACCAUGUUGUUCAGGCUGGUCUCGAUCUCCUGGUUUCAUGAUCCUCCUGCCUCAGCCUCCCAAAGUGCUGGGAUUACAGGUGUGAGCCACCGUGCCUGGCCUGGUUACCAGAAUUCUAAGUUCUGUUAGGGUCUGUUGCCAAAGAAGUGAGGUUGCUUCUUUAAGGUUCCAUCCCCUCAGCCUCCCCCUUCCAGAAGACCUACGCAGGACCCCAGUGGGCUUCUGACUGCUCAUCCUCCCCAUAGGUCAACUCCUUACCUGUACACAGUUAUGUCCACCCAGGGCCUACUUGGACACCUGCACCUGAUGUUCACCAGGGGCCUAGGAAUCCACUUGGGGCCUGGGAUCCUACAGGGGCCUAAUGUUACCCUGCAGAUUGAGUAGCCACCUGGGGACAAGGUAUCAACCUGGGGACUGUGGUUGACCUGUGGGUUAAUGUCCACCUGGGGACUGGUUAUUCAGCUGAGGCCUGAUGCGUACCUGGGGCCGAAUGUCCCCCUCAGGGUGAAUUCCACCCAGAUCCACCUGGGGCCUAAUGUCUGCCUUAGAUCUGUGUCCCACUGGGGCCUUGUGUUCACCAGGGACUGGUAUCCAGCUGUGGCCUGAUGACCUACUGCAUCCUGUUGCUCACCUACGGCCUGGUGUCUACCUGGGGCUUGGUGAUCACCUGGGAACUGGAUAUUAACCUGGGGCCUGGGUGACCACUUAAGGCCUGAUGUGUGCCUGGGGCCUGACUGUCCACCUGGGGACUGGGUGUCCACCUUGGGUCUGAUGUCUACCUGAAGUUAGGUAUCUACCUAAGGCUUGGUGUCUACCUGUGGCCUGAUGUCCACAUGAGUCUGGGGUUCGGUUGGGGCCUGCUGUACAUCUGGGACCUUGGUGUCUAUCUGAGGCCUGAUGUCUACCUGGUGACUGCCAUCCUCUUGAGGCCUGCUAUCCACCUGGGAAUGGUUUAUCCAUGGAAAUGGUUAUGUCCACCUGGGGCUGGAUGUUGCCCAGGGGCUAGAUGUCCACCUGUGGCCCCGUGUCCACCUAGGGCCUGAUGUCCACCUGGGACAUGGUGUUCACCUGAGACCUGGGUGUUUACAUAGGGCCUGAUGUCCAGCUGGUGCCUAGGUGCCCACCGGGGGCCUUCUGUUAACCUGGGGACUGGUAUCCAGCUGGGUCCUAAUGACCACCUGGGUUGAAUUAUUCACCUAGAGUUUGGUAUUCACUUAGGGCUUGAGUGUCAGCCUUGGACCUGGUGUCCACCUGGGCCUUGGGUAUCAAACUAGGGGUUUGGUAUCCAGUUGAGACAUCAUUUGCACCUGGGGUCUGAGUGUUCGCAUGAGGCCAGAUGACCACUGGGGGCCUGAAUGUCAACCUGGUGUCUGAAAUUCACUGGAAGCCUAGGUAUCCACCUGGGGCCUGAUGUCCACCUGGGACUAGGUGUCAACAUGUGGCCUGAUGUAAACCUCUAGUUGAGUGUCCACCUUGGGCCUGAUGUCCACUGGGGGACUGAUGUUCCCCUUUGAUCUGAUGUCUACCUGGAAACCGUGUAUUCACCCAUGGCCUGAUGGUCACCUGGGGUUGAAUGUCCAACUGUGACCAGAUGUGCACCAGGAUUCUGGGCAUCCACGUGGGACCUGAUGUUCAGCUGGGGCCUGGAGUUCACCUGAGGCAUGAUGCCUACCUGAAGCUUAAUGUUCAUCUGAGUGCUGGAUGUUCACCUGGGGCCUGAUAUCCCCCUGGAGCCCAAGGACCCUUCUCAGGCCUGAUGUCCACAAGUUGGCCUGGUAUUCAUCUGGGGCCUUCGUGUUAACCUGUGGCCUAAUGUACUCCUGGGUUCUAGUGUCCUCUUGGGACCUGAUGUCUACCAGGAUCCAGGUAUCCACCUGGGGCUCGGUAUCCACCUAGGGCUUGAUAUUCACCUGGGGCCUAGGAAUCCACUUGAUAACUGGUGCCCAUCGGGGUCCUGAUGUUCACCUUGGGACUGGGUAACCACCUGAGGCCUGAUGUCCACUUAGGGCAUAAGUGUUUAUCUGGGGUCUAGUGUUCACAUAGGGUCUGAUGUCAACCUUGAGCCCAGGUAUUCACCAGGGGACUAGUGUCCAGCUGGGACCAGAUGUUCACUUGGGGCCUGGUGUCAACUUGGAGCACGGUUGUCAACCUAGGACCUGAUGUCCAGUCCAGUGUCCACCUUGGGCCUGUUUACUACCCGGGGCCUGUGUGUCCACAUAGACCAUGGUGUCAAUCUGGGGCCUGGGUAUUUACCGGGCGCCUGGAUAUUCAUUGGUACAUUAUGUCUAGUGGAGUCUUUGUGUCAAUCUGAGCUCUGAUGUCUACCUAGAGAUUGGGUAUCCAUCUAAGGCCUGGUGUUUACAUGGGGCCUGUAACAUGAGGUUCCAGAUGAACUCAGAUGUCCACCUGAGGCCUGAUGUCCACCUGAGUUCUGAGUGUUCACAUAGGGCCUGCUGUCAACUUGGGACCUAAGUAUUUACCUAGGGCCUGGGUGUCCACCUGGUGCCUGACUUCCAACUAGAUCUGUGUCAACAUGGGGCCUGAUGUCCACUUUGGGCCUAGGUAACUUCCUGAUGACUAAUGCCCACAUGGUUCCUAAGGACCAUCUGAGGCCUGGUAUUAAUUUAGAGACUGGUAUUCAUCUGGGGUCCAGGUAUCCACUUGGGACCUGAUGUUCACCUGGAGUAUAGGAAUUCACGUGGGGCCUGGUAUCCACCUUAAGUGUGUGUAUCCAAUUGAGUGUGGUGUCCACCUGGAGUCCAGUGUAUACCUGGGGCCUGAUGUACAUAUGGAGCCUGGGCGUCUAUCUAGGACCUGAUGUUCAGAUAAGGGCUGGCAUUCUCCUGGCCUGGUGUCCACAUGGAGCCUGGGUGUACACUUGAAGCCUGAUAUCCCAGGUGGAUACCUGGGCCCCAGUGGUCAUCAGAUCCUAGGAAACUCUCAGGCCCCAGGUGCACAUAAAGCUACAGUGGCCACCUAGGCCACAGGUUGAUACACAGGGUCCAGGUGGACACUGGGUGCAAGAUGAACACCAGGCCCCUGGUGAACGCCAAGCCCCAGGUGUCUGCCUAGUCCUCAACUGGACACCAGGCACUAGAUUGACACACAGGUACCAGGUGGAUAUCAGGCUGCAGGUGAACAUCAGGCCUCAGGUGGUUGGGUUACUUAUAGCAUAGGUGGCCAUCAGGUCCCAGAUCUAUAUCCACUCCCCACCUGAAAAUCAGGAUCCAUGUGGAUACCCAUGUCCUAGGUGAACACCAGGUUCCAAAUGAACAUCAGGCUCCAAGCGAACACACAGGCCCCAGCUCAAUACCAGCCUCAGGUAGACAUCAGGACCUAGGUGCACCCCAGGCCCAAUGUGCAUGCCUAGUCUCUUGGAAUACAUCAUUUUCAAGGUGGACACCCAGAUUCCUCAAAGACAUCUGGUGCCAGGUGGAUAUCUGGCUGCAGGUGGACAUCAGGCCCCAGGUGGAGACCCAGUACACAGGUGUAAAUCAGGCUCCAGUAUUUCAUCAGGCCCCAGUUUAACACUUGACUAAAGGUGUGCAUCAAGACCCAGGUUGACAGCCAGGCUUCAGGUGCACACUAGGCCCAAAGUGUACACCUGUGCCAAGGUGGGCAUCAGGCCCAAGGUGUACACCAGACCCCAAGUGGACAUCAGGCCCCAGGUUGACACAAUGAACCAUGUAGAAGUCAGGCUGUAAGUAGACACCCAGGCCCUAGGUAAAUACUUUGGUCCCAAGCCAACAUCAGGCCCUAUGUGGACACCCAGACUCCAGACAGAUGUCAGGCCCCAGGUGAACACUGAACUCAGGGUGGUCAUCAGGCACUAGGUUGACACAUAGGCCUCAGGUAGACAACAAGCACAGGUGAACUUCAGGCUCCAGAUGAACGUCAGGCUCCAGGAAGAAGUCUGUGCCCCAGUUAAACACCAGGUCUUAGGUAGACAUCAGGCCUCAAAUGGAUGCCCAGGCCCCAGGUGGAUAUAAGGCCUCAGGCAAACACCAGGCCCCAGGUAGACAUUAGACACGAGAUGGACACUCAAGCCACAAGUGAACAUCUGUCCCCAGGUGGACAUCCACCCAAGGUGGACAUCAGGCCAGAGAUGUACACCCAGGCCCCAGGAGAACCCCAGGCCCCAGGAGGACACCCAAGUGCCAGAAGGACACCCAGUCCCUAGGUAACUACAAGGCCCCAAGUGGACAUGAUGUUCCAGAUGGAUAUGAGGCCCCAAGUGGAUACUAGGCCCAGGUGGACCCCAGAUCUCAGGGGCACACCAGGCCCCAGGGGAACACCAGGCCCUAGGUAAGCAUGAAGUCCCAGGUGGACAUCAGUUGCCAGGAGGACACCAGGACCCAGUUGCUCAUCAAGCCACAGCUGAACACCAGUUCCCCAUGAACACCAGUCCUCAGGUGGGCACCUAGUCAUCUCGUGUGUAUCAGGUGCCAGGCUGACAUAGGCACCAGCUGAACUCUGGGCCUCAGGUGAACAUCAGAUCCCAGGUUGUCACCCAGGCCCCAGGUGAACACCAGGUUUUAGGUGGACACGAGGUCCUAGGUGGAUGUCUAUGCUCCUGGUGAACCUCAGGCCCUAGUGGACACUCAGGCCCUUUAUAGACAUCUGGCUCCAUGUGCACUCCCAGGGCCCAGGUAGACAUGAGGCCCCAGAGGAACACCAGUCCUUAAUCACCUAAGACUGAAUUCCCCUAGGGCAGGAGACUGAGUAUUCACCUUGGGCCUAGGAAUCUACCUGAGGCCAGAUGUCAAUCCGGGGCCUGAUGUCUACUCAGGUUCAGCUGUCCACCUAGGGCGGGGUGUUUUUCUGGGACCCAGAGUCUACCUGAAAUCUUGGUAUCAACCUAGGGCCUAUGUGUCCACUUGGAGUCUGAUGUGCACCUGAAGCCUGAGUUUUCACGUGGGAUCUGAUGAGCACCUGGGGCCCAGGUUUCCAUCUGAAACAUCAGGUUCUAGUUAUACAUCUGGGCCCCAGGUAUACACUAGGCACCAAAAGAACUCCAGCCCCUAUCUUAACAUGAGGUCCUAGGUGAAUGCCCAGGCCUCAUGUCUACAUUAGGCCUCAGGUAGACAUGACUCCAGGCGGGCAUCAGGCCUGAUAUUGGCUCUAUGUCUCCACCCAAAUCUCAUGUUGAAUUGUAAUCCCCAUGGGUUGAAGAAUGAGCCUGGUGAAUGGUGAUUGAAUCAUGGGGGCAGACUUCCCACUUGGUGUUCUCGUGAUAGAGUUCUUACGAGACCUGGUUAUUUGAAAGUGUGUAGCACAUCCCCCUUCUGUCUCCCUCCUCCUCCCACAUGGUAAAAAGGGCUUUACAUCAUGAUUGUAAGUGUCCUGAGCCCGCCCAGUCAUGCUCCCUAUUAAGCCUGAAGAACUGUGGGUCAGUUAAACCUCUUUUCCUCAUAAGUUGCCCAAUAUCAGGUAGUUUUUUAUAACAGUGUGAAAAUGGACUAAUACAAGGACUUAGGAUAACAACCAUGCUUCAGGCCAUAGGUGGACAUCUGGCUGCAACUGGACACUAUUCCCCAGGUGGAUACCUAGGCUCAAGGUUGACAUUAGUCCCCAGGUAAACAACAAGCCCCAGGUGAAUAUCUAUGCCCUAGUAGACAUCAGGCCUCAGGCUGACACUCAGUCUAACCUCAACAUUAGGCUCCAGGUGGACGCCCAGACUGCAGGUGGAUACUAGACCCCAGGGGUACACCAGACUCCUGGUAGGCAUAAGACCCCAGGAGGACACUAGAAUCCAGGUGUACAUAAAGCCACUGGUUGACACCAAGCCCUCAGAUGAACAUCAGGCCAACUAGUGGAUGUUAGGCACAUGAGAAUACUUGGGCACCAGGUAGGUAUCAGGCCCCAGGUAAACAUCAAACUUCAGGUGGACAUCAUUCUCCAUGUGAACUCUAGCCCCAGCUAAACAUCAGGCUCCAGGUGGAAGCCCAGACCCCAGGAGCACUUCUGACCACAGUUGAACAUCUGUCUCCAGGUGAAUAUCAGACCAUGGAUGGAUAACAAGUCCCCAGGUGGACAUCAGGUCAAAAGUGAAUAUAAGUCUCUAGGAAGACAUCUGACCCCAGGUGGAUACUGAACUAGAGGUUUACAUCAGACCCCAGAUUGACAUUCAGUCCCCAGGUGGUCAUGACACCUCAAUUGGACACCAAGUCCGUAGGUGUCCCAGGUGUACACCAGGUCAAAGAUGAACACAAGACCUAAGUUUGACACUGAAGCCCCAAGUGGACAUGAGGCCCUAGGUGAAUAAUAUGACCCAGGGGAUCAUUAGGACCCAGCUUCAUACCAGUCCCCAGGUUUACACGAGGCCCCCAGUAGGUUCCUAAAUUCUAGUUGGACAUGAGGUCUCUA